UACGUAGGGUGCAAGCGUUGUCCGGAAUUAUUGGGCGUAAAGAGCUCGUAGGCGGUCUGUCACGUCGGCUGUGAAAACCCGAGGCUCAACCUCGGGCCUGCAGUCGAUACGGGCAAACUAGAGUACUGCAGGGGAGACUGGAAUUCCUGGUGUAGCGGUGAAAUGCGCAGAUAUCGGGAGGAACACCAGUAGCGAAGGCGGCUCGCUGGGCCAUUCCUGACGCUGAGACGCGAAAGCUAGGGGAGCGAACAGG
This 253-nucleotide ribosomal RNA is filed under the name uncultured bacterium. RNAcentral describes it as "partial 16S ribosomal RNA". It matches the Rfam family "Bacterial small subunit ribosomal RNA", at positions 524 to 776 of the family's 1533-position model. The record is from RNAcentral.